GCCUGCCUAGCUCAAUCGGCUAGAGCGUCAGACUUUUAACCUAUGGGGUUGAGGUCAUCUGAAGGCUGCGAGUUCGACCCUCGCGGUGGGCU
This is a non-coding RNA of Collybia nuda, 92 nucleotides long. NCBI's taxonomy places the organism in Eukaryota, Fungi, Basidiomycota, Agaricomycetes, Agaricales, Clitocybaceae. The record is from the annotation of a GenBank genome assembly.